Molecule: ribosomal RNA, 307 nt
Filed under: uncultured Chlorobiota bacterium
Lineage: Bacteria; Pseudomonadati; Chlorobiota
Description: bacterial SSU rRNA
Rfam family: Bacterial small subunit ribosomal RNA
Source: RNAcentral
GACGAACGCUGGCGGCGUGCCUAACACAUGCAAGUCAAGGAAAUGGUUCCCUUCGGGGGAUCGGAAACUGGCGCACGGGUGAGUAACGCGUAGGUAAUCUGCCCUAAUCCGGAACAUAACGUCGGGAAACCGGCACUAAUAUUCCAUGAGGCCUUCGGGUCAAAGCUUCGGCGGUUUAGGAUGAGCCUGCGUCUGAUUAGCUAGUUGGUAGAGUAACGGCCUACCAAGGCUACGAUCAGUAGCUGGUCUGAGAGGAUGAUCAGCCACACUGGAACUGAGACACGGUCCAGACUCCUACGGGUGGCUG